This 390-nucleotide ribosomal RNA is filed under the name Triticum aestivum (bread wheat). RNAcentral's name for it is "partial small subunit ribosomal RNA". The record is from RNAcentral. Lineage: Eukaryota; Viridiplantae; Streptophyta; Magnoliopsida; Poales; Poaceae.
AUGGGGUCGGCGGAGACUUCCACCACCACCCGGCGGAUUGAUCCGGCCACCGACCUCUGGGAGACGACGGAGCGGAACGCGCGGGAGGCGCGCGAAGAGCGGGAAGCCACCUGCCUGGAGAAGGCAGAAGCAGACAGGGCGGAAGCCGCCACCCUGAAGAAGCUGGCGGAGGCCGAAGCCACCAUUGUGCUGAAGAAGCAGGCUGAGGAAGCCGCGCGCUGUCAGUCGGCAGUGUUUGUUGUCCCCCUGAACUCUGCGCCGCCGCUGCCGGAGUUCGUGACGCAGACUGGGGAAGCCGGCGGCGAGCACCCUAUGAUGGAAAGGGACAACGGCGACAUCGCCAUGCCGGAUGUGAUCGUGCCCCCGCCACCUCCUUUUGAGGAGGCAUGA